RNAcentral lists this transfer RNA (69 nucleotides) under Marmota monax (woodchuck). It matches the Rfam family "tRNA". From Rfam's summary of the family: Transfer RNA (tRNA) molecules are approximately 80 nucleotides in length. The record is from Rfam by way of RNAcentral. Lineage: Eukaryota; Metazoa; Chordata; Mammalia; Rodentia; Sciuridae.
GGGGUUGUGGCUCAGAGGUAGAGCCCUUGCCUAGCAUGCAUGAGGCACUAGGUUUGAUCCUCAGCACCA